RNAcentral lists this ribosomal RNA (434 nucleotides) under uncultured bacterium. RNAcentral's name for it is "bacterial SSU rRNA". It matches the Rfam family "Bacterial small subunit ribosomal RNA", at positions 8 to 489 of the family's 1533-position model. The record is from RNAcentral.
AGAGUUUGAUCCUGGCUCAGAGCGAACGCUGGCGGCAGGCCUAACACAUGCAAGUCGAACGAACUCUUCGGAGUUAGUGGCGGACGGGUGAGUAACACGUGGGAACGUGCCUUUAGGUUCGGAAUAACUCAGGGAAACUUGUGCUAAUACCGAAUGUGCCCUUCGGGGGAAAGAUUUAUCGCCUUUAGAGCGGCCCGCGUCUGAUUAGCUUGUUGGUGGGGUAAUGGCCCACCAAGGCUACGAUCAGUAGCUGGUCUGAGAGGAUGACCAGCCACAUUGGGACUGAGACACGGCCCAAACUCCUACGGGAGGCAGCAGUGGGGUAUCUUGCGCAAUGGGCGAAAGCCUGACGCAGCCAUGCCGCGUGUAUGAUGAAGGUCUUAGGAUUGUAAAAUACUUUCACCGGUGAAGAUAAUGACUGUAGCCGAGAAGAG